UACGUAGGGGGCGAGCGUUGUCCGGAAUGAUUGGGCGUAAAGGGCGCGUAGGCGGCCUGUUAAGUCCGGAGUGAAAUUCCUGCUUUCAAGGUAGGAAGUGCUUUGGAAACUGGCGGGCUGGAGUGCAGGAGAGGUUAGCGGAAUUCCCGGUGUAGCGGUGAAAUGCGUAGAGAUCGGGAGGAACACCAGUGGCGAAGGCGGCUAACUGGACUGUAACUGACGCUGAGGCGCGAAAGUGUGGGGAGCAAACAGGAUUAGAAACCCUAGUAGUCC
RNAcentral lists this ribosomal RNA (273 nucleotides) under uncultured prokaryote. Its description in RNAcentral is "partial 16S ribosomal RNA". It matches the Rfam family "Bacterial small subunit ribosomal RNA", at positions 524 to 796 of the family's 1533-position model. The record is from RNAcentral.